AUUGAACGCUGGCGGCAGGCUUAACACAUGCAAGUCGAGCGGGGGAAGGUAGCUUGCUACUGGACCUAGCGGCGGACGGGUGAGUAAUGCUUAGGAACCUGCCUAUUAGUGGGGGACAACAUCUCGAAAGGGAUGCUAAUACCGCAUACGUCCUACGGGAGAAAGCAGGGGAUCUUCGGACCUUGCGCUAAUAGAUGAGCCUAAGUCGGAUUAGCUAGUUGGUGGGGUAAAGGCCUACCAAGGCGACGAUCUGUAGCGGGUCUGAGAGGAUGAUCCGCCACACUGGGACUGAGACACGGCCCAGACUCCUACGGGAGGCAGCAGUGGGGAAUAUUGGACAAUGGGGGGAACCCUGAUCCAGCCAUUCCGCGUGUGUGAAGAAGGCCUUAUGGUUGUAAAGCACUUUAAGCGAGGAGGAGGCUACUUUAGUUAAUACCUAGAGAUAGUGGACGUUACUCGCAGAAUAAGCACCGGCUAACUCUGUGCCAGCCGCCGCGGUAA
Molecule: ribosomal RNA, 501 nt
Filed under: uncultured bacterium
Lineage: Bacteria
Description: partial 16S ribosomal RNA
Rfam family: Bacterial small subunit ribosomal RNA
Source: RNAcentral